CCUACGGGUGGCAGCAGUGGGGGAUAUUGCACAAUGGGGGAAACCCUGAUGCAGCGACGCCGCGUGUGGGAAGACGGUCCUCUGGAUUGUAAACCACUGUCCCCAGGGACGAAGAUGACGGUACCUGGGGAGUAAGCUCCGGCUAACUACGUGCCAGCAGCCGCGGUCAUACGUAGGGAGCGAGCGUUGUCCGGAAUUACUGGGUGUAAGGGGCGCGUAGGCGGGGAUGCAAGUUGGGUGUCAAGACUACCGGCUCAACUGGUAGUCGCCCUCAAAACUGCAGCGCUUGAGUGAAGUAGAGGCAGGCGGAAUUCCUAGUGUAGCGGUGAAAUGCGUAGAUAUUAGGAGGAACACCAGUGGCGAAGGCGGCCUGCUGGGCUUUAACUGACGCUGAGGCUCGAAAGUGUGGGGAGCAAACAGGAUUAGAUACCCGAGGAGUC
RNAcentral lists this ribosomal RNA (440 nucleotides) under uncultured bacterium. RNAcentral's name for it is "partial 16S ribosomal RNA". It matches the Rfam family "Bacterial small subunit ribosomal RNA", at positions 338 to 795 of the family's 1533-position model. The record is from RNAcentral.